Molecule: ribosomal RNA, 512 nt
Filed under: uncultured Actinomycetes bacterium
Lineage: Bacteria; Bacillati; Actinomycetota; Actinomycetes
Description: bacterial SSU rRNA
Rfam family: Bacterial small subunit ribosomal RNA
Source: RNAcentral
CGAUUAAAGCCUGACGCAGCGACGCCGCGUGAGGGAUGACGGCCUUCGGGUUGUAAACCUCUUUCAGCUCCGACGAAGCCUUCGGGUGACGGUAGGGGCAGAAGAAGCACCGGCCAACUACGUGCCAGCAGCCGCGGUAAUACGUAGGGUGCAAGCGUUGUCCGGAAUUAUUGGGCGUAAAGAGCUCGUAGGCGGUUUGUCGCGUCGACUGUGAAAACUCAGGGGCUCAACUCCGAGCUUGCAGUUGAUACGGGCAGACUAGAGUUCGGCAGGGGAGACUGGAAUUCCUGGUGUAGCGGUGAAAUGCGCAGAUAUCAGGAGGAACACCGGUGGCGAAGGCGGGUCUCUGGGCCGAUACUGACGCUGAGGAGCGAAAGCGUGGGGAGCGAACAGGAUUAGAUACCCUGGUAGUCCACGCCGUAAACGUUGGGCGCUAGGUGUGGGGUCCCUUCCACGGGUUCCGUGCCGCAGCUAACGCAUUAAGCGCCCCGCCUGGGGAGUACGGAAUCUAG